This is a long non-coding RNA of Chelonia mydas (Green sea turtle), 260 nucleotides long. RefSeq lists it as uncharacterized. The record is from RefSeq and is a predicted model, not a curated record. The transcript has 3 exons. NCBI's taxonomy places the organism in Eukaryota, Metazoa, Chordata, Testudines, Cheloniidae.
CAGACUCCAAUGAGAAACUGCAGAAUUGGAAUUAAUUUGCAAACUGGACACCAUUAAAUUCGGCUUGAAUAAAGACUGGGAGUGGAUGGGUCAUUACACAAAGUAAAACUGUUUCCCCAUGCUAAUUUUUUUCCCCUUACUGUUACUCUCAUCUUCUUGUCUACUGUUUGAAAUGGGCCAUCCUGAUUAUCACUACAAAAGGUUUUUUUUUCUCCUGCUGAUAAUAGCCCACCUUAAUUAAUUGAACAAUCUCAUUAUAG